RNAcentral lists this transfer RNA (74 nucleotides) under Patescibacteria group bacterium. RNAcentral's name for it is "tRNA-Met". It matches the Rfam family "tRNA". Rfam says of the family: Transfer RNA (tRNA) molecules are approximately 80 nucleotides in length. RNAcentral also lists the same sequence under 1 other name. The record is from RNAcentral.
CGCGGGUUAGUGGAACGGUACCACGGGAGGCUCAUAAUCUCCAAAACCCGGUUCGACUCCGGGACCCGCAACCA